Molecule: transfer RNA, 76 nt
Filed under: Lachnoanaerobaculum sanguinis
Lineage: Bacteria; Bacillati; Bacillota; Clostridia; Lachnospirales; Lachnospiraceae
Description: Lachnoanaerobaculum sp. JCM 36186 tRNA-Asp
Rfam family: tRNA
About the family: Transfer RNA (tRNA) molecules are approximately 80 nucleotides in length.
Source: RNAcentral
UGGCCCGAUGGCUCAGUUGGUUAGAGCGCCGCCCUGUCACGGCGGAGGUCGUCGGUUCGAGUCCGAUUCGGGUCGU